CUUGUGCCGGAGCUAACGCGUUAAGCGCACCGCCUGGGGAGUACGGUCGCAAGACUAAAACUCAAAGAAAUUGACGGGGACCCGCACAAGCGGUGGAGUAUGUGGCUUAAUUCGAUGCAACGCGAAGAACCUUACCUGGGCUUGACAUGCAUCUCUAAGCGCGUGAAAGCGCGUGACUCUUCGGAGGAUUUGCACAGGUGCUGCAUGGCCGUCGUCAGCUCGUGUCGUGAGAUGUUGGGUUAAGUCCCGCAACGAGCGCAACCCCUGUGAACAGUUGCCAGCGGUUCGGCCGGGGACUCUGUUCAGACUGCCCAGAUCAACUGGGAGGAAGGUGGGGACGACGUCAGGUCAGUAUGGCCCUUACGCCCAGGGCUGCACACGUACUACAAUGCUCAGUACAAUUGGAACCAAGACCGCGAGGUGGGGGAAAUCCGUAAAACUGAGCCCAGUUCGGAUUGGAGGCUGCAACUCGCCUCCAUGAAGUUGGAAUCGCUAGUAAUGGCACAUCAGCUACGGUGCCGUGAAUACGUUCCCGGGUCUUGUACACACCGCCCGUCACAUCAUGGAAGCCGGUAGCACCCGAAGUAUCGUAUGGUCCUAAGGUGAAGCUGGUAACUGGGAUGAAGUCGUAACAAGGUAACCA
RNAcentral lists this ribosomal RNA (643 nucleotides) under uncultured bacterium. Its description in RNAcentral is "bacterial SSU rRNA". It matches the Rfam family "Bacterial small subunit ribosomal RNA", at positions 840 to 1502 of the family's 1533-position model. The record is from RNAcentral.